This 1035-nucleotide long non-coding RNA is filed under the name Phoenix dactylifera (date palm). Its description in RNAcentral is "long non-coding RNA (PDAC_LNC016011)". The record is from RNAcentral. Lineage: Eukaryota; Viridiplantae; Streptophyta; Magnoliopsida; Arecales; Arecaceae.
GUGAGGAGCAUUGGUGAAUCUGAUCGGAAAUGGUGGGAAAGAACGCUUGGUUGCAUUGAGGAACAUCAUUCAGAUGAUAUCAUUCAUAUGAUAUUAAUUGCUAGGCCAUGUAGCCCAACUGCUGGUGUAACAUCAGAACUCGUAAAUCUAUCCAUCUAGUGGAUUGCUGUUGGUUGGGGUAAGAGUGUUCAUGGAAGUAUAUGGGGUCUGGAGUGGCUGUUUAAAUGUAGAGCCUUAUGGAGCCCAAGGGCAAAAAUAGGUUUUCUUUGCAUACCUCAACAUCAACUUACUAAGUUGAACCUCGGGCUUUGCCCUCUAAAAAGCAAACACAAUGAACUGUUACAUUCUUGAAAUUAGUUUUCUUUAAUUAUUCAUUUAGUGUUCACUAAUUGAAUGAUGACUAGGUCUAUUAUCUGCAAAUUAUAUGAACAUAUCAUACACUAAAUAUUUGUAGUAAUAACCUGGUCUGAUCGUUGAUCCAAAAGUUGGACCACUGCAUAGAGACCUAAACCCUUGAUUUUGUCGAUCUUUGAUCUGAUUUUUAUAACUAUCAAGUAAUGCAUAUAUUUUAUUUAAAUUACAGAACUCUGCCAAAAGUUUUUUUCUCUCCCUUUUUUGGAUAAAGGAGAGAGAACUUUAUCAGAAGUUACAGAUAAGCUAUCACUAUUAGUUAUAGUACAUCGAAUAUUUUUUUUUCCCUCAACAAUAGAUUAACAUAAUGAAAAGCAAAUUACCACCUUAUCACAAUGCAAAAGAGUGCUAGCAAGUCAUCACUAUUAGUUAUAGCACACAAAAUAAUGUUUCUCAAAUUUAUAGUAACACAGCAAAAAAUAAACUUCCAUAUUAUCACAAUGCCAUUAGAGUGCUUGCAAGCCAUUUGCUCCACAAUCCAUUGAACUUUCUACUUUCUUCUCACAGUCCCUCUCCAUAUGUACAAGCCGAAACCACCGCCUGUGCCUCCACAAUCAAUUCCAAGAACCACACUGGGAACAUUUGGAGAGGACAAAUGAAUUCAUGCUAACUAUAAAAAUUCAU